AUAAAUGACUCUCGGCAACGGAUAUCUCGGCUCACGCAU
RNAcentral lists this ribosomal RNA (39 nucleotides) under Paranephelius uniflorus. RNAcentral's name for it is "partial 5.8S ribosomal RNA". Lineage: Eukaryota; Viridiplantae; Streptophyta; Magnoliopsida; Asterales; Asteraceae. The record is from RNAcentral.